GAGAGAGGGGGCGAGCGUUGUCCGGAGUCACUGGGCGUAAAGCGCGCGCAGGCGGCAACCUAAGUGUCGUGUGAAAGCCCCCGGCUCAACCGGGGGAGGCCAUGGCAAACUGGGUCGCUCGAGCUGCGGAGAGGCCCCUCGAAUUGCCGGUGUAGCGGUGAAAUGCGUAGAGAUCGGCAGGAAGACCAAGGGGGAAGCCAGGGGGCUGGCCGCAGGCUGACGCUGAGGCGCGAAAGCGUGGGGAGCAAACCGG
RNAcentral lists this ribosomal RNA (253 nucleotides) under uncultured bacterium. RNAcentral's name for it is "partial 16S ribosomal RNA". It matches the Rfam family "Bacterial small subunit ribosomal RNA", at positions 524 to 776 of the family's 1533-position model. The record is from RNAcentral.